AUCGGAUUGCAAAUUAUCUUGGAUUGGAUGAUGGGAUAAACUUGUCAUCCUUGGCGACAAGUAUUAAAAUCUGCGGUGAGUUAACUUACGCUACAUUGAGACCAAGUGCGAGUUUCGCGUUGCUGGUGUCAUCGUUGACAAAAUGGGACUUCCCUCAGAAAAACAUGUUUAAAACAAACACACUUGCCUCGUGUGAGGAUUGAACUCACGACCUUCAGAUUAUGAGACUGACGCGCUACCUACUGCGCUAACGAGGCUACAGCACUGCUACAAGUCAUGAUUGAAUCAUUGGCAAGAACAAAUUUUGAUUUGGAAAUUCAGUGCCUUGAGCGCACAUCAACAAAUCGUUUAUUUUUU
Molecule: long non-coding RNA, 357 nt
Organism: Hippocampus zosterae (dwarf seahorse)
Lineage: Eukaryota; Metazoa; Chordata; Actinopteri; Syngnathiformes; Syngnathidae
Exons: 2
Source: RefSeq, a predicted model, not a curated record